CCUACGUGAGGCAGCAGUGGGGGAUAUUGCACAAUGGGGGAAACCCUGAUGCAGCGACGCCGCGUGUGGGAAGACGGUCCUCUGGAUUGUAAACCACUGUCUCCAGGGACGAAGAUGACGGUACCUGGGGAGGAAGCUCCGGCUAACUACGUGCCAGCAGCCGCGGUAAUACGUAGGGGACGGGUGUUGUCAGGAAUUACUGGGGGUAAAGGGAGGGUAGGCGGGGAUGCAAGUGUGGUGUAAAAACUACCGGCUAAACUGGUAGUCGCACUCAAAACUGCAGCUCUUGAGUGAAGUAGAGGCAGGCGGAAUUCCUAGUGUAGCGGUGAAAUGCGUAGAUAUUAGGAGGAACACCAGUGGCGAAGGCGGCCUGCUGGGCUUUUACUGACGCUGAGGCUCGAAAGUGUGGGGAGCAAACAGGAUUAGAUACCCCAGUAGUC
This 440-nucleotide ribosomal RNA is filed under the name uncultured bacterium. Its description in RNAcentral is "partial 16S ribosomal RNA". It matches the Rfam family "Bacterial small subunit ribosomal RNA", at positions 338 to 795 of the family's 1533-position model. The record is from RNAcentral.